This is a non-coding RNA of Nicotiana tabacum (common tobacco), 3978 nucleotides long. NCBI's taxonomy places the organism in Eukaryota, Viridiplantae, Streptophyta, Magnoliopsida, Solanales, Solanaceae. The record is from RefSeq and is a predicted model, not a curated record.
AACCCCUGCAUCAUCAAAUAACCGAAGAAGUUCCAACAUAUCAGAUCUUGGUUUCCUCAUCAUUAAUACAGUUACUUGCUAAUUUACAGAGAAUUCUGACAUUAAAAAAUCUCCUCAUUUCUUAAUAUUUGAAGUAGUAAUAAGAUAGCUGGUGUUUUUUUAAGUUCACUAAUAGCUCUUUUGAAAUCCAAAAUGGGAAUUACAAUUUAAGUAAGUAGGAUGUCAUGGUGCUAAUAAUUAGUAAACCAAGGAGUUACAUGGCAGCGAAAGAGAGGUGGAGUUAUAACAAUAAAGGAUUUAUAUUACUGCUCUAUAAAGGCGGUUUAAUAUCUAGAAAAAAAACAAUAUUUCUCUAGGUAACUAAUAAGUUCUUGGCUUGCUUUACUUUUUAGGAGAUUGUACCUGCCAGAAUAGUUGUGUGAUGAGAACAGUACCAUGAUUGUUUCAAAAUAUACGAGAUAAUGAAUAUAACUUUUCAGCAUAUAUGCUACUUUAGAACAUUAGUUGGUCUCGCCAUUAAUAUCAUUGUCAUAGUUUGCAUCUCUUUCUUUUUGUGCAAUAGAGAAAGAUUUAGAUUAAGUGAUAUAAUUAUGUAUCUCCAGUAAUUUCUAAAAUUUGUUAUUUAGAUCUUAAUUUUUAUGAUUUGCAUUUGUGACCCAUAGGGGAUAUAAUAUUCAAUGGAUAAUGGAGAUAAAAGUUGGAUGGGUCUCUAAAGAUCCACAGAUGAGUAUAUUCGCGGAGUGAAUGAUUUUUUUGAUAAGGCAUUUGAACGGGCUUCCCAAGGUAAUGAAAUAUUAUGCCCUUGCAAAAAAUGUGCUAAUUGUUAUUGGCGUAUUAGAAAUGUGGUCGGGGAUCACUUGGUUGGUUAUGGAUUUAUUCAAGGAUACACCAAAUGAAUUUUCCACGGGAAAAAUAUUUCCUCGAGAAAUAAUCCACAUCCAAGCAAUGGUGAUGAAGGUUCCAACAUGCGUGAUGAUAUUGAUGGACUACUUCAUGACACUUUUAGAAAUGUUGAAGGUGACAUGAGCCAUGAAGAAGGUGUGCGAGAGGGACCAUCUGAAGAUGCAAAAAAAAAAAUUAAAUUAGUGUAGGAAGGAAAACAAGAGUUAUAUCUGGGGCGUGAGAAUUUUUCUAAACUUAGUUUCACCAUUCGAUUGUACUUAAUCAAAUGCAUUCAUGGCUUGAGUAAUGUGGCUUUUUCAGACUUGUUAGUCUUGUUAAAAGAGGCAUUUCCAUUUGCUAAGCUACCCGAGUCUUUUUACAAGGCAAAACAUAUGAUAAAAAACUUGGGUCUUCAUUAUGAAAACAUACAUGUGUGCCCUAAGGAUUGCAUGCUUUUUUGGAAUGAAAAUGAGAAAAAUGAUAAUUGCUCUGUAUGUGGAACUUCUAGAUGGAAGAAUGUUGUUGAUGGCGUGACUAAUGCAAGCUCAAAAAUCCCUGCAAAGGUUUUAAGGUACUUUCCCUUAAAGCCUAGGCUUCAGAGGAUAUUCAUGUGCUCUUAAACAGCUACAGCUAUGAGAUGACAUGCUACUGAACGACUCAAUGAUGGGAAUUUAAGACAUCCUGCUGAUGAGGAAGCAUGGAAGAAUUUUGAUUUCUUGCACAAGGAUUUCUCGGGAUCCUCGUAAUGUUAGAUUGAGUCUUUCAAGUGAUGGUUUUAACUCGUUUCGAACCAUGAGCAUUUCCCAUAGUACAUGGCCUGUUAUGCUAAUGAACUAUAAUUUAUCACUAUGGAUUUGCUUGAAGCCAGAGUAUAUAAUGUUAUCAAUGAUUAUUCCAGGUCCUUCUUCACCAGGAAAUAAUAUAGAUGUAUACUUACAACCACUAAUUGCUGAAUUGAAGGAACUAUGGGAAACAAGGGUAGAAACAUAUGAUGCUAAAUCUGGCCAAACGUUCAAAUGUGUGCAGCCUUGUUGUGGACAGUUAGUGAUUUUCCAGCACUAGCAAUGUUUUUCGGAUGGAGCACCAAGGGGAGACUGGCAUGCCCGACUUGUAAUUAUGACACAUGUUCUCAGUAUCUCAAACAUAGUCGUAAGAUGUGUUACUUGGGUCAUCGGGCAUUUUUGCCUCCUAAUCAUCCAUUUUGAAGAGAUAAGUAAUCAUUUGAUGGUAAAGAGGAUCAUAGAACAACACCUACUCCCUUGUCAGGUGUAGAUGUGUCAGAAGAAUUGGGUGAAUUUAAUCAUGUCUUCGGAAAGGGUCAAAAGAAAUGGCGUCGGGGUAAUGAGGGUCCAUGGAUGAAAAAAUUAAUCUUUUUUGAAUUAUCGUAUUGGGCACAUAACAAAUUGAGACACAAUCUUGAUGUAAUGUACAUCGAGAAGAACAUAUGUGAUAGUUUGCUUGGUACUUUAUUGGAUAUGCCUGGAAAGUAAAAAAAUCAUGUAAAUUCUCGCUAUGACUUGGAAGAGAUGGGGAUACGAAAAGAGCUUCAACCAUUAAAAAAUAAGGAUAAUAAAAAAGUUUAUUUGGCUAAAGCUUGUUUCUCCAUGAAACCAGAAGAGAAAAAGUUGUUUUGCACUGUUUUAAAAAAUGUGAAAUUACCAAAUGGGUGUGGGUAAAAUAUAUCACGACGUGUGGAAGUGGAGGAAAUGAAAGUAUUAGGGUACAAGAGUCAUGAUGCUCAUUUUAUCAUGCAUUACUUGCUCCAGGUUGCAGUUAGAAAAGUGUUGCCCAAGAAUGUUUCUUUGGUCUUGAUUAGGUUGGGGAACUUCCUUAGAGCCAUAUGUAGCAAGGUUAUAAGGCGAAGAGACCUUGAUAAAAUGCAAUCUGAAAUCAAUGAAAUUGAAUGUGACCUUGAAAAGAUCUUUCCUCCAACUUUUUUUGACAUAAUGGAACAUUUGCCUAUCUAUUUAGUAGAUGAAAUUAAGCUUGGAGGUCUGACUCAUUUACGUUGGAUGUAUUCUAUUGAGAGAAAUCUGUGUAAGUAUAAGGCAUUUGUUCGUAACUGAUAUCAUCCAUAAGCGUCAAUAGCGGAGGGAUAUUUGGCCGAAGAGUGUUUGACCUUUUGUUCGAGAUACCUACAUGAUGAGGUGAAAACAAGAUUUAGCAGGUAACAAACAGAAGAUGAUGAAGGGGUUGAAACAGAGGGAGAUGAUAUGUCACCUAUAUUCCCUAAGAUAGGCCAUCCAAUCGGACGUCAGAAGAAAAACAAAGGCAAUGCAUUUAUCAUGGGUUUACAAUUAUGUUUUGAAGCACAUCGAUAUGUUCUGUUCAAUAUCGGAGAUGAACAAAUGGAGAUGUUUAUCCAGGAAUAUAAGAGUUUAAUUGAUAAUAAAACAAGAUCAAAUGCAUGGAUUAAAGCAUGAAAUCAUAGUCAGGAAUUCGGCAACUGGUUCAAAGAGAAAGUUAAAACUGUUGAAGUGCCAAAUCAUUUACGAUGGCUAGCUAAAGGGCCUAAUAUAGUUGCAAAAAGAUAUACUGGAUAUUUCAUCAAUAGAUACCGAUUUCAUACGAUGGACGAGGGGUUAGAAGAACUUCUUUGACAGGAAAAGUGAGAUAUUUUGAAUCCUCUUCAAAUGCUACAAAUGAUAUGGUGCAACAAAUGGAAGAAAGGAUGACAAUAAUGUUCGAGGAACAGAAGGAACAAUUUGAGAAACAGAAGGAACAAUAUGAGGAACAAAAGAGAAUGAUGCGACAAGAAAUUCUAGGAGAUAUCUUUGUACAGCUUCAGCGUUCAGGAUUGCAAAUUGAUCCUAAUAUUUUAGCAAACUUGUGUGCUCGUUCACCAAGAGAAGCUUCGUCUGCACAAUAAGUAGCUAUUCAACCAAUCAACAGGCCAUCUUUUGGCAGCAACAAUCAAGGUGAACCAAAUGAUCAAGGGGGAGAUGAAAGCUGUGAAGACCUUACCUAAAAGUAUUGGUUGAAGAAUCUUCAGACAAUCUAGGAAUGUUUUUAUUUUUGAACUAUUUUGCAAACUUAUGUAUUCCAACUCUUGGAUUAUUAAACAUUUUUAUCGUAUAUUUUACUUUUAUAAAUGGA